CUUUUGUAUAAUGGGUCAGCGACUUAUAGUCUGUAGCAAGGUUAACCGAAUAGGGGAGCCGGAGGGAAACCGAGUCUUAAGUGGGCGUUAAGUUGCAGGGUAUAGACCCGAAACCCGGUGAUCUAGCCAUGGGCAGGUUGAAGGUUGGGUAACACUAACUGGAGGACCGAACCGACUAAUGUUGAAAAAUUAGCGGAUGACCUGUGGCUGGGGGUGAAAGGCCAAUCAAACCGGGAGAUAGCUGGUUCUCCCCGAAAGCUAUUUAGGUAGCGCCUCGUGAAUUCAUCUCCGGGGGUAGAGCACUGUUUCGGCUAGGGGGCCAUCCCGGCUUACCAACCCGAUGCAAACUGCGAAUACCGGAGAAUGUUAUCACGGGAGACACACGGCGGGUGCUAACGUCCGUCGUGAAGAGGGAAACAACCCAGACCGCCAGCUAAGGUCCCAAAGUCAUGGUUAAGUGGGAAACGAUGUGGGAAGGCCCAGACAGCCAGGAUGUUGGCUUAGAAGCAGCCAUCAUUUAAAGAAAGCGUAAUAGCUCACUGGUCGAGUCGGCCUGCGCGGAAGAUGUAACGGGGCUAAACCAUGCACCGAAGCUGCGGCAGCGACGCUGAUGCGUUGUUGGGUAGGGGAGCGUUCUGUAAGCCUGCGAAGGUGGCCUGUGAGGGUUGCUGGAGGUAUCAGAAGUGCGAAUGCUGACAUAAGUAACGAUAAAGCGGGUGAAAAGCCCGCUCGCCGGAAGACCAAGGGUUCCUGUCCAACGUUAAUCGGGGCAGGGUGAGUCGACCCCUAAGGCGAGGCCGAAAGGCGUAGUCGAUGGGAAACGGGUUAAUAUUCCCGUACUUGGUGUUACUGCGAAGGGGGGACGGAGAAGGCUAUGUUGGCCGGGCGACGGUUGUCCCGGUUUAAGCGUGUAGGUGUGUGUUCCAGGUAAAUCCGGUUCACUUUAACACUGAGGCGUGAUGACGAGGCACUACGGUGCUGAAGCAACAAAUGCCCUGCUUCCAGGAAAAGCCUCUAAGCAUCAGGUAACAUCAAAUCGUACCCCAAACCGACACAGGUGGUCAGGUAGAGAAUACCAAGGCGCUUGAGAGAACUCGGGUGAAGGAACUAGGCAAAAUGGUGCCGUAACUUCGGGAGAAGGCACGCUGACACGUAGGUGAAGUGAUUUACUCAUGGAGCUGAAGUCAGUCGAAGAUACCAGCUGGCUGCAACUGUUUAUUAAAAACACAGCACUGUGCAAACACGAAAGUGGACGUAUACGGUGUGACGCCUGCCCGGUGCCGGAAGGUUAAUUGAUGGGGUCAGCGCAAGCGAAGCUCCUGAUCGAAGCCCCGGUAAACGGCGGCCGUAACUAUAACGGUCCUAAGGUAGCGAAAUUCCUUGUCGGGUAAGUUCCGACCUGCACGAAUGGCGUAAUGAUGGCCAGGCUGUCUCCACCCGAGACUCAGUGAAAUUGAACUCGCUGUGAAGAUGCAGUGUACCCGCGGCAAGACGGAAAGACCCCGUGAACCUUUACUAUAGCUUGACACUGAACAUUGAGCCUUGAUGUGUAGGAUAGGUGGGAGGCUUUGAAGUGUGGACGCCAGUCUGCAUGGAGCCGGCCUUGAAAUACCACCCUUUAAUGUUUGAUGUUCUAACGUGGACCCGUGAUCCGGGUUGCGGACAGUGUCUGGUGGGUAGUUUGACUGGGGCGGUCUCCUCCUAAAGAGUAACGGAGGAGCACGAAGGUUGGCUAAUCCUGGUCGGACAUCAGGAGGUUAGUGCAAUGGCAUAAGCCAGCUUGACUGCGAGCGUGACGGCGCGAGCAGGUGCGAAAGCAGGUCAUAGUGAUCCGGUGGUUCUGAAUGGAAGGGCCAUCGCUCAACGGAUAAAAGGUACUCCGGGGAUAACAGGCUGAUACCGCCCAAGAGUUCAUAUCGACGGCGGUGUUUGGCACCUCGAUGUCGGCUCAUCACAUCCUGGGGCUGAAGUAGGUCCCAAGGGUAUGGCUGUUCGCCAUUUAAAGUGGUACGCGAGCUGGGUUUAGAACGUCGUGAGACAGUUCGGUCCCUAUCUGCCGUGGGCGCUGGAGAACUGAGGGGGGCUGCUCCUAGUACGAGAGGACCGGAGUGGACGCAUCACUGGUGUUCGGGUUGUCAUGCCAAUGGCACUGCCCGGUAGCUAAAUGCGGAAGAGAUAAGUGCUGAAAGCAUCUAAGCACGAAACUUGCCCCGAGAUGAGUUCUCCCUGAGACUUAGCGUCUCCUGAAGGAACGUUGAAGACGACGACGUUGAUAGGCCGGGUGUGUAAGCGCAGCGAUCCGUUGAGCUAACCGGUACU
This 2319-nucleotide ribosomal RNA is filed under the name Salmonella enterica subsp. enterica serovar Schwarzengrund. RNAcentral's name for it is "bacterial LSU rRNA". It matches the Rfam family "Bacterial large subunit ribosomal RNA", at positions 605 to 2902 of the family's 2925-position model. Lineage: Bacteria; Pseudomonadati; Pseudomonadota; Gammaproteobacteria; Enterobacterales; Enterobacteriaceae. The record is from RNAcentral.